Ribosomal RNA from Pteropus vampyrus (large flying fox), 128 nucleotides. NCBI's taxonomy places the organism in Eukaryota, Metazoa, Chordata, Mammalia, Chiroptera, Pteropodidae. The record is from Ensembl.
CUCUACAGCCAUGCCACCCUGAACAAGCCUGAUCCUGUCUGAUCUCGGAAGCUAAGCAGGGUCAAGCCUGGAUAGUACUUGGAUGGGAGACCACCUAGGACGACUAGGAAGACCAGGUGCUGUAGGCA